GUGUCAGCCGCCGCGGUAAGACGAACCGUACGAACGUUAUUCGGAAUUACUGGGCUUAAAGGGUGCGUAGGCGGCGCGGCAAGUUGGGUGUGAAAUCCCUCGGCUCAACCGAGGAACUGCGCCCAAUACUGCCGUGCUCGAGGGAGACAGAGGUGAGCGGAACUUAGGGUGGAGCGGUGAAAUGCGUUGAUAUCCUAAGGAACACCCGUGGCGAAAGCGGCUCACUGGGUCUCUUCUGACGCUGAGGCACGAAAGCUAGGGUAGCGAACGGGAUUAGAUACCCCCGUAGUCC
This 292-nucleotide ribosomal RNA is filed under the name uncultured bacterium. RNAcentral's name for it is "partial 16S ribosomal RNA". It matches the Rfam family "Bacterial small subunit ribosomal RNA", at positions 505 to 796 of the family's 1533-position model. The record is from RNAcentral.